This 413-nucleotide ribosomal RNA is filed under the name uncultured eukaryote. RNAcentral's name for it is "SSU rRNA". It matches the Rfam family "Eukaryotic small subunit ribosomal RNA", at positions 567 to 981 of the family's 1831-position model. The record is from RNAcentral.
CCAGCACCCGCGGUAAUUCCAGCUCCAAUAGCGUAUAUUAAAGUUGUUGCAGUUAAAAAGCUCGUAGUUGGAUUUCUGGCAGGAGCGACCGGUCUCACACUCUGUGUGAGAACUCGUGUUGUCUCUGGCCAUCCUUGGGGAGAUCCUGUUUGGCAUUAAGUUGUCGGGCAGGGGAUACCCAUCGUUUACUGUGAAAAAAUUAGAGUGUUUAAAGCAGGCUUAUGCCGUUGAAUAUAUUAGCAUGGAAUAAUAAGAUAGGACUUUGGUACUAUUUUGUUGGUUUGUGCACCAGAGUAAUGAUUAAUAGGGACAGUUGGGGCUAUUCGUAUUCCAUUGUCAGAGGUGAAAUUCUUGGAUUUCUGGAAGACGAACUACUGCGAAAGCAUUUAGCAAGGAUGUUUUCAUUAAUCAAG